GACGAACGCUGGCGGCGUGCUUAACACAUGCAAGUCGAACGGAAAGGCCCUGCUUUUGUGGGGUGCUCGAGUGGCGAACGGGUGAGUAACACGUGAGUAACCUGCCCUUGACUUUGGGAUAACUUCAGGAAACUGGGGCUAAUACCGGAUAGGAGCUCCUGCUGCAUGGUGGGGGUUGGAAAGUUUCGGCGGUUGGGGAUGGACUCGCGGCUUAUCAGCUUGUUGGUGGGGUAGUGGCUUACCAAGGCUUUGACGGAUAGCCUGCCUGAGAGGGUGACCGGGGACAUUGGGACUACGAUACGGCCCAGACUCCUACGGGAGGCAGCAGGGGGGAAUAUUGCACAAUGGGCGGAAGCCUGAUGCAGAAACGUCGCGUGCGGGAUGACGGCCUUCGGGUGGUAAACCGCUUUCGCCUGUGACGAAGCGUGAGUGACGGUAAUGGGUAAAGAAGCACCGGCUAACUACGUG
Molecule: ribosomal RNA, 468 nt
Filed under: uncultured bacterium
Lineage: Bacteria
Description: partial 16S ribosomal RNA
Rfam family: Bacterial small subunit ribosomal RNA
Source: RNAcentral